This 251-nucleotide ribosomal RNA is filed under the name uncultured prokaryote. RNAcentral describes it as "partial 16S rRNA". It matches the Rfam family "Bacterial small subunit ribosomal RNA", at positions 525 to 775 of the family's 1533-position model. The record is from RNAcentral.
ACGUAGGGGGCGAGCGUUGUCCGGAAUGACUGGGCGUAAAGGGCGCGUAGGUGGCCUUUCAAGUCUGGAGUGAAAGUCCCGCUUUCAAGGUGGGAAUGGCUUUGGAAACUGAGAGGCUUGAGUGUGGGAGAGGAUAGCGGAAUUCCCGGUGUAGCGGUGAAAUGCGUAGAGAUCGGGAGGAACACCAGUGGCGAAGGCGGCUAUCUGGACCAAGACUGACACUGAAGCGCGAAAGCGUGGGUAGCAAACAG